GUGACUGCACCGUUGCUUAUGGCUUGGAGCAGUGGAGGAACCUUCACUAUUUACAUGGUUAUGUGUGCUUUCACCGUGGCGUUCGUGGCAAUUUGGGUACCGGAGACGAAAGGGAGAACUCUAGAGGAAAUUCAGUUUUCUUUCAGAUGAAAACUUACCCCCUCCCAAACAGGCCUUUGUGAUCCUUUGUUCUUUUUGUCACAAAACUCAA
RNAcentral lists this unclassified non-coding RNA (211 nucleotides) under Hevea brasiliensis (rubber tree). The record is from RNAcentral. Lineage: Eukaryota; Viridiplantae; Streptophyta; Magnoliopsida; Malpighiales; Euphorbiaceae.